AUGAACGCUGGCGGCGUGCUUCACACAUGCCAGUCGAACGAGAAGUGAAGACGGAACCCUUCGGGCGGAAGGCUUUAUUUCGAGUGGCGGACGGGUGAGUAACGCGUGGGUAACCUGCCUCAUACAGGGGGAUAACAGUUGGAAACGACUGUUAAUACCGCAUAAGACCACAGCACCGCAUGGUGCGGGGGUAAAAACUCCGGUGGUAUGAGAUGGACCCGCGUUCGAUUAGCCAGUUGGCGGGGUAACGGCCCACCAAAGCGACGAUCGAUAGCCGAUCUGAGAGGAUGACCGGCCACAUUGGGACUGAGACACGGCCCAAACUCCUACGGGAGGCAGCAGUGGGGAAUAUUGCACAAUGGGGGAAACCCUGAUGCAGCGACGCCGCGUGAGUGAAGAAGUAUUUCGGUAUGUAAAGCUCUAUCAGCAGGGAAGAAAAUGACGGUACCUGAGUAAGAAGCCCCGGCUAACUACGUG
Molecule: ribosomal RNA, 477 nt
Filed under: uncultured bacterium
Lineage: Bacteria
Description: partial 16S ribosomal RNA
Rfam family: Bacterial small subunit ribosomal RNA
Source: RNAcentral